This 484-nucleotide non-coding RNA is filed under the name Pan troglodytes (chimpanzee). Lineage: Eukaryota; Metazoa; Chordata; Mammalia; Primates; Hominidae. The record is from RNAcentral.
CACCGCUUUGCUCCCCCAGGAACACCAGCUUGAAUUUCCUCAGCGGAUUCCCGAAGUCUCCGCCCGUGGACAUUGUGGAACUAGAGGAGCGGCCGCCGCCUCAGCCCACUCCAGCCAGCUGACGAAAAAGGCGAGCGGAAGGGCGGGCACCGAGCUCUCUCGGCCCCUGCAAGGCCCGGUGGAGGAGCCCGGCUGGAGGGCAGCAGGACUCUCCACAGACUGGCAGCCGCCGCCGCCUCCCGGCAGAGUAGCCUAGCACCGAGCGAGGCCCGCGGCUGGGAAGGGAAGGAGGGCGGUGUCGGUAGGAGCCAGGGGUGUCCUCUGGCUUCCCAAAGCUAGGGCCGUUCCUUCCUUCCGCACUCGGCUCCCAGACCUGGGGGAGAGAAGCUGAGGGUGGCGGAGCCGGAACCGCAGACGUCUGGGACCUCUCACGCGCAGCGCCUGAGCUUCCACAGCUGCCGCCGCCGCCGCAGCCCAACCUGCU